UCCGAAGGGGGCUAUCGUUGUUCGGAAUCACUGGGCGUAAAGCGCACGUAGGCGGACCUUUAAGUCAGGGGUGAAAGCCUGGAGCUCAACUCCAGAACUGCCUUUGAUACUGGAGGUCUCGAGUGUGGAAGAGGUUGGUGGAACUGCGAGUGUAGAGGUGAAAUUCGUAGAUAUUCGCAAGAACACCAGUGGCGAAGGCGGCCAACUGGUCCAUUACUGACGCUGAGGUGCGAAAGCGUGGGGAGAAAACAGG
Molecule: ribosomal RNA, 253 nt
Filed under: uncultured bacterium
Lineage: Bacteria
Description: partial 16S ribosomal RNA
Rfam family: Bacterial small subunit ribosomal RNA
Source: RNAcentral